CAACUUUCAGCAGUGGAUGUCUAGGCUCGCACAACGAGAAGAACGCUCGACUGCGAUACGUAAUCGAACUCAGAAUUCAGUGAGUCAUCGAAAUUUUAGUGCAAAUUGGACUUUCGGCUUAUGCCUGGACGUAUUCUGUAUCAGUGUCCGUA
RNAcentral lists this ribosomal RNA (152 nucleotides) under Pythium sp. F-147.10. Its description in RNAcentral is "5.8S ribosomal RNA". It matches the Rfam family "5.8S ribosomal RNA". From Rfam's summary of the family: 5.8S ribosomal RNA (5.8S rRNA) is a component of the large subunit of the eukaryotic ribosome. The record is from RNAcentral. Lineage: Eukaryota; Oomycota; Peronosporomycetes; Pythiales; Pythiaceae.